UACGUAGGGGGCAAGCGUUGUCCGGAAUCAUUGGGCGUAAAGCGCGUGUAGGCGGCCCGGUAAGUCCGCUGUGAAAGUCGGGGGCUCAACCCUCGAAUGCCGGUGGAUACUGUCGGGCUAGAGUGCGGAAGAGGCGAGUGGAAUUCCUGGUGUAGCGGUGAAAUGCGCAGAUAUCAGGAGGAACACCAAUUGCGAAGGCAGCUCGCUGGGACGUGACUGACGCUGAGACGCGAAGGCCAGGGGAGCAAACGGG
This 253-nucleotide ribosomal RNA is filed under the name uncultured bacterium. RNAcentral's name for it is "partial 16S ribosomal RNA". It matches the Rfam family "Bacterial small subunit ribosomal RNA", at positions 524 to 776 of the family's 1533-position model. The record is from RNAcentral.